GGAGCAGUACAAACGAUCGCGGGAUAUUGUUUAUCCGGAGGAAAGUCCGAACACCACAGGGCAGGGUGCUCCAUAACGUGGAGUCACGGUGACGUGAAGGAAAGUGCAACAGAAAGGAUACCGCCUUUUUUGGCGAUCUGUAAAGAUCUGCUAAAAAGGUAAGGGUGAAAAGGUGCGGUAAGAGCGCACCAGUUCCCCGGGUGACCGGGGAAGCUUUGUAAACCCCACCCGGUGCAAGACCAAAUAGGGGAGCGAUAAGGGCGGCCCGCCCAAGCUCCCGGGUAGGUUGCAAGAAAUGCCGGGCAACCGGCGUUCACAGAUGAAUGAUCGUUACCGGAAUGAGGGUAACCUCGUCCCGGAACAGGAUUCGGCUUAUGGACUGCUCCGGCC
RNAcentral lists this RNase P RNA (390 nucleotides) under Desulfobacterales bacterium. Its description in RNAcentral is "RNase P RNA component class A". It matches the Rfam family "Bacterial RNase P class A". Rfam says of the family: Ribonuclease P (RNase P) is a ubiquitous endoribonuclease, found in archaea, bacteria and eukarya as well as chloroplasts and mitochondria. Its best characterised activity is the generation of mature 5'-ends of tRNAs by cleaving the 5'-leader elements of precursor-tRNAs. The record is from RNAcentral. Lineage: Bacteria; Pseudomonadati; Thermodesulfobacteriota; Desulfobacteria; Desulfobacterales.